GGCGAACGCUGGCGGCGUGCCUAAUACAUGCAAGUUGAGCGCUGAAGGUUGGUACUUGUACCGACUGGAUGAGCAGCGAACGGGUGAGUAACGCGUGGGGAAUCUGCCUUUGAGCGGGGGACAACAUUUGGAAACGAAUGCUAAUACCGCAUAAAAACUUUAAACACAAGUUUUAAGUUUGAAAGAUGCAAUUGCAUCACUCAAAGAUGAUCCCGCGUUGUAUUAGCUAGUUGGUGAGGUAAAGGCUCACCAAGGCGAUGAUACAUAGCCGACCUGAGAGGGUGAUCGGCCACAUUGGGACUGAGACACGGCCCAAACCCCUACGGGAGGCAGCAGUAGGGAAUCUUCGGCAAUGGACGAAAGUCUGACCGAGCAACGCCGCGUGAGGGAAGAAGGUUUUCGGAUCGUAAAACUCUGUUGGUAGAGAAGAACGUUGGUGAGAGUGGAAAGCUCAUCAAGUGACGGUAACUACCCAGAAAGGGACGGCUAACUACGUG
RNAcentral lists this ribosomal RNA (497 nucleotides) under uncultured bacterium. Its description in RNAcentral is "partial 16S ribosomal RNA". It matches the Rfam family "Bacterial small subunit ribosomal RNA", at positions 28 to 507 of the family's 1533-position model. The record is from RNAcentral.